Molecule: ribosomal RNA, 498 nt
Filed under: uncultured bacterium
Lineage: Bacteria
Description: partial 16S ribosomal RNA
Rfam family: Bacterial small subunit ribosomal RNA
Source: RNAcentral
ACUCAAAUGAAUAGACGGGGGCCCGCACAAGCGGUGGAGCAUGUGGUUUAAUUCGAUGCAACGCGAAGAACCUUACCUACCCUUGACAUCCUGCGAAUUCUGAUGAGAAUUGGAAGUGCCGCAAGGAGCGCAGAGACAGGUGCUGCAUGGCUGUCGUCAGCUCGUGUUGUGAGAUGUUGGGUUAAGUCCCGUAACGAGCGCAACCCUUGUCCUUAGUUGCCAUCAUUAAGUUGGGGACUCUAAGGAGACUGCCGGUGAGGAACCGGAGGAAGGCGGGGACGACGUCAAGUCAUCAUGGCCUUUAUGGGUAGGGCUACACACGUGCUACAAUGGGGCAUACAGAGAGUCGCGCACCCGCGAGGGGAAGCCAAUCUCCCAAAGCGCCUCGUAGUCCGGAUUGGAGUCUGCAACUCGACUCCAUGAAGUUGGAAUCGCUAGUAAUCGCGAAUCAGCAUUGUCGCGGUGAAUACGUUCCCGGGCCUUGCACACACCGCCCGU